Molecule: small nucleolar RNA, 133 nt
Organism: Zalophus californianus (California sea lion)
Lineage: Eukaryota; Metazoa; Chordata; Mammalia; Carnivora; Otariidae
Gene: SNORA72
Rfam family: Small nucleolar RNA SNORA72
About the family: U72 is a member of the H/ACA class of snoRNAs. The snoRNA gene is located in intron 4 of the ribosomal L30 protein gene in human, mouse and chicken.
Source: Ensembl
UAGUGAAUAUUCUUGCCGUUCUGAUUUUGUAAUAGUCAGGAUAGGCUAAACAUUUGCUAUGUUAAGCACCGUGCCUGUAUCCCCAGACCUAGUUCUUUCCCUCGGUCUGGUUUUAUCAAUGCUGGUGAUAGAC